AGUCUGAUUAUGGCUCAGAUUGAACGCUGGCGGGAUGCUUUACACAUGCAAGUCGAACGGCAGCACGGACUUCGGUCUGGUGGCGAGUGGCGAACGGGUGAGUAGAUUAAUGGAACGCCUAGUAGGGGGAUAACUACGCGAAAGCGGAAGCUACCGCAUACGCCCUCUUCGGGAAAGCGGGGACCUUCGGGCCUCGGACCAUUAGAGCGGCCGAUAUCGGAUUAGCUAGUUGGUGGGGUAACGGCUCACCAAGGCGACGAUCCGUAGCUGGUUUGAGGACGACCAGCCACACUGGGACUGAGACACGCCCAGACUCCUACGGGAGGCAGCAGUGGGGAACCGGGAGCCAAUGGGGGGAAAACCCUGAUCCAGCCAUCCUUGGCAAAGAUGAAUACUUCGUUCGUAAAGCACUUUUGGCAGGAAAGAAACGGCACGGGAUAAUACCCGUGCAACUGACGGUACCUGCAGAAUAAGCACUGCUAACUACGUGCCAGCAGCCGCGGUAAUACGUAGGGCAAGCAGAUCACUGACUACUAAGGAAGGCAGGUUCGGAAAGAAAGAUGUGAAAUCCCAGAGCUUAACUUUCUGAACUGCAUUUUUAACUACCGAGCUAGGAGUGUGUCAGAGGGAGGUGGAAUUCCGCAGCAGGUAAAUGCGUAGAUAUGCGGAGGAACACCGAUGGCGAAGGCAGCCUCUCCUGGAUAACACUGACGCUCAUGCACGAAAGCGUGGGGAGCAAACAGGAUUUAGAUACCCUGGUAGUCCACGCCCUAAACGAUGUCAACUUAGCUGUUAAAGUUCCUGGCCCGUGGUAGCGCAGCUAACGCGUGAAGUUGACCGCCUGGGGAGUACGGUCGCAAGAUCAAAAACUCAAAGGAAUUGACGGGGACCCGCACAAGCGGUGGAUGAUGUGGAUUAAUUCGAUGCAACGCGAAAAACCUUACCUACCCUUGACAUGCCUGGAAUCCCGAAGAGAUUUGGGAGUGCUCGCAAGAGAACCGGAACACAGGUGCCAGAUGGCUGUCGUCAGCUCGUGUCGUGAGAUGUUGGGUUAAGUCCCGCAACGAGCGCAACCCCUUGUCAUUAGUUGCUACGAAAGGGCACUCUAAUGACUGCCGGUGACAAGUGGAGGAAGGUGGGGAUGACGUCAAGUCCUCAUGGCCCUUAUGGGUAGGGCCUACACGUCAUACAAUGGUCGGACAGAGGGUCGCCAACUCGCGAGGGGGAGCUAAUCCCUUGGGAACCCGGAUCACCGUAGUCCGGAUCGCAGUCUGCAAAUCCCCGACUGCGUGAAGUCGGAAUCGCUAGUAAUCGCGGAUCAGCAUGUCGCGGUGAAUACGUUCCCGGGUCUUGUACACACCGCCCGUCACACCAUGGGAGUGGGUUUUACCAGAAGUAGUUAGCCCUAACCGUAAGGAGGGCGAUUACCACGGUAGGAUUCAUGACUGGGGUGAAGUCGUAACAAGGUAA
This 1470-nucleotide ribosomal RNA is filed under the name uncultured Bordetella sp. RNAcentral's name for it is "partial 16S-23S ribosomal RNA intergenic spacer". It matches the Rfam family "Bacterial small subunit ribosomal RNA". The record is from RNAcentral. Lineage: Bacteria; Pseudomonadati; Pseudomonadota; Betaproteobacteria; Burkholderiales; Alcaligenaceae.